This is a non-coding RNA of Arachis ipaensis, 837 nucleotides long. NCBI's taxonomy places the organism in Eukaryota, Viridiplantae, Streptophyta, Magnoliopsida, Fabales, Fabaceae. The record is from RefSeq and is a predicted model, not a curated record.
AAAACUUCCACCCCCUCUUAAUUCGAAACAAACAGUUUACACAACAAACCCCCUAACAACACUUCUUCCUUUCUUCGAAACACACCCUCCUCUUCUUUGAAACAAUGCCUUAAAAGCGAAAACCCUAACGGCGGCGGCGCUCUUCACCUAACGGCGGCGGCGCUCUUCACCUAACAUAGAGCUCAUCGCCGGUGCCCUCACUGUCUCCCCCAAUAACACUCGUUGGUCAACCUCGUUCCAACCCUCUCUAGCAACCCCUUCGUAGGUGCCACCUCUGCCGGUGUUCCCUGCGUCGGCGCUCCUUCCGUCUUUCCUGUAAACACGUAUCCCUCCUUCGGCGGUGACUCACUCUGGUAAGGCCUCCCUUGGCGCUCACUAUCGCAAACCCUCCGUCGACGCUCACUCUCUCUCGCAAACCCUCAAUCGUCACUCCUCCCUCCAUGGUUCAGCACCCGCCGCGUUGCCGUCUCCCUCUCUGAAGUCGUCGCGCCGCCGUCUCCAUCUCCGUCACUCGUCGCACCUCCGUCAGCCACGUUCAGCAUUCGCAGCACCGUGGAAUUGAAACAACAAGGGAUACAAGAAGAAAGGCUGCAGCUGCUUGUUAAUGUUACUGGAGCUUUUAGGCCUGGAGUGUUGACAACAUUGGUUGGAGUAAGCGGGGCUGGAAAAACCAUGCUAAUGGAUGUCUUGGCUGGAAGAAAAACUGGAGGUGUUGUGAAGAUACAAAGCUGGUUUGAGGAUAGGCUCCAAGACUUACCAGAUGACCCUAAUAAUGAAUUGAUGAUUCCCGAAGACCCUGAAUGUAAUAAGGAAGGUGAGCUCUCUUAAAUGCCUAAG